This is a long non-coding RNA of Brassica napus (rape), 2802 nucleotides long. RefSeq lists it as uncharacterized. NCBI's taxonomy places the organism in Eukaryota, Viridiplantae, Streptophyta, Magnoliopsida, Brassicales, Brassicaceae. The record is from RefSeq and is a predicted model, not a curated record. The transcript is spliced from 2 exons.
GUUGCGACAUUAUUAAUUUAUACAGGUUUUACAGUACAUAGCUACUGAUAUUUAUAUUUUAUAUUCAAUUAUUUUAUGUUCUCUAAAUUGCUCUUUUGGUAUAUAAAACAAAUAUUUUAAAAUAAAUUUUAUCGGAGAUAACAUGUUUACAAUUUUAUAAAGUUGACUGGGAUGGAAAAAUAUUGACCCAAUUUUUUUAAAAGAAAGUUGAAAAGUUUCAAUAAUUUUAUAAUGUUGACCAAUAUAAAAGAAUAAUUUGUUUCAAUGUUUCCAAAAAUGCAAUAAAAAUUUGGUCAAUUAAUAACAAAAUAAUUCAUCAGGAAACAAUCAAAUUUUAGGGGGAAAAUCAAAUAUUCUAGUAGUAUUGAGUUUCUCUUUCUAAAGAUUUUAGUAUUAGAAAAAAAACUCAAGUAAAGGAAAGACAAAUAAAACAAAACAUAUACAGUAGUUGCAUUGGUCAAGCGUCAAGAUAUUUACCCAUAUAUGGAUUCUUUUGUUCUUAUCUUUUUUAAGAUUUUUAUUCUUCUCAAAAUUAUUUGAAAAUUUAAUUUUUUUGGUUAUAUCUCCAAAGUGUAUAUCUCUUUGUAUAUCUUUAGCAACAUUCGGUUCCUGGACCAACUUGCUCCUUAGCCUACUUCAAAGACUGCUAAACCAUGCGUUAUGACAUAUGAAGAUCUUCUACCGGUAAGAUGUAGACAUCUCCAAGCCUGUGAAUGCUUACAUCUUACCGGGUGAAAAUCUUCAUGUCCUAGAAUCCUUUGCUGAGCAGAUAUUGUUGAAGUAGGCUAAGGUGCAUGUUGGUCCAACUAAAUUGGAUGCCCUCCAAGAAAACCUCAGUAAUGAUCAGUGUUGGACCUGACCUAAAGCGGGAGAAGCUGUGGAUUUAGGCGCCAAAUUAGAUUAAGAAUUUUGGGAGAAAUUGUUUUGCAAAAAAUUGUUUAUAGUCCAGCUGUUGUGUUUUACUUUGUUCGGUCACAGGUGAUGGGUUCGAGGAUUUGGGGACAAUAAAUAUUUAUUUUGCUUUAAGAUGUAUUUUGUACUGGGCCGGGCCUGGUAAUGAUGUAUUGGUUGAAAACCUCAAUUGUCCCUGCCUCCAGCUUCCAGAAAGGUCAAUCACGGGAAGAAAGCUUGAAAAUGACACAGUUCCAUGGACGGAUCUACGUUGCUCAGCAAGGGGGCAACUGCCCCCAGUAAAUUCUAUAAGUAAAUUGAAAUACGUUGGAUUGUUGAGUAUCUUUUACAGCUUAGUUGGUUAAAAUCUUCGCUUUUUCCCCACUGAACCAACGUUCGAAAGCCCCAUCUGCCGCCUUGCACCAUCUAUUUUUCUUACUUUUUCUUUACCUUUCUGAUUUUUUUUGGCCACGUCUUAUGUUUUGUUAUUUUCUUCAUGUUCAUUUUUUUUUGUUCCGCAUAUUUUUUUGUUCCGCAUUUCUUUUCAUCCAUAAACUAUUUUUUAAAAUAUUCUGAAUUUCAGUAUUUUUUUAUUUUGUUAGUGAUGUCUUUUUUCCUUCGUUUAGUUCCUUGUACCCUUUUUCUUAUUUUUUUUCUUCUGGCCAUGUGUUAUGUUUCAUUAUUUUCCUCACCUUUUAUUUUUUGUUCUUCAUUUCUUUUCAUUCAAAAUUUUUUGUUUUAAAAUAUUUUGAAUUCUAGUAUUUUUUCCACUUCAUUGGUAAAGUCUUUUUGUUUCCUCAUUUAGUUUAUAGUCAUAUUAUUUUAUUAUUAUUUUUCUUCUGAAUUUUCUUCUUAUUGAAAAAAUUUAGAUAUAUGUAAUAUUAUUAAAUAAAAAUAUUUACUAAUAAUUAAUUUAUGCUCCCACUCAAAAUAUUUUCUAGUUCUGCCACUGACAGUUCGAGACCAUUCAACUACAUUGUCGGAACCUGGAAUCGACAAAGGAACCAUUAAGUGUUUUAGUUACUAAAAACAUCCUCUUAUAAUCAUUACUUGUACACUUAUCAUCAUCAUAAUCAGAGAGUUGAAUGUUAUACGUGUAUUGCAAGUUAUAGUCUUAACGGAUGAUUAUGAUUCUGAAAUUUUCAUUCAACUUGUUAGAACAGGAGGCAACAUCUUGGACCUUUACCCCCUCUGACGCAAUCAAGACACUCUGGCUCCGACAAGGAUAACUCAUCCUCAGUGAUUUGGCCAGCGGUAUGCUCGUACCAGAGCGACAAUCUGUAAGCUAGGAUUUCAUUGGUGUUGGUUGUAUUGGUUUGGUUGCAACCUAUUGCAAUCUCAGUGUAUCGACAACCCUUCAUUGAUCUCUGGUUUAUAUUUUCUUCAACUUUGUUUUAAGAUUAGGGGUUUAUCCAACCUAUCAUGAUCUUGGAGUGGAAAUAGACCAUGAAACUGCUUCAAACUCUCCAUCUCUCUUCUCUUCCCUCGGAUCCGCCCCUGUCUCCAGUUUCCCAUAUCGCCUCUACAAUGAUCAUCCGAUACAUCAUGGACAUGGUAUCUCGCGUCCAAUGAAGCAUCUCAUCAACCGUUUUGCUCUGGUGGCCCUUUUGGCCACAUUGGCAUCACUAUAUAUACUUCGAAUCUCUCCGUAUAACAUAUAAAACAUGAAAUCAUGGGCUCACCGCCACGGAAGCUCAUGAUUUCUCUCUCUUGGACACAGUCUACUAACAACAUUUGUGUCUUUGAAACAAGCAAAAGCUGUUUGGUAUUUUCAAAAGCACUCUCUGCGGCUCAUCACAAAGUAAUCCUUUCAGUUGUGUCAAAACAAAAACUAAUCCUUUAAACUGAAAUUUUGAAACUUUAUAUUGAAAAUGACUGAAGAAUUUAUUUGUUAUUUUUUUGUGAGGGAGA